ACGAUGCAUAGCCGACCUGAGAGGGUGAUCGGCCACAUUGGGACUGAGACACGGCCCAAACUCCUACGGGAGGCAGCAGUAGGGAAUCUUCGGCAAUGGACGCAAGUCUGACCGAGCAACGCCGCGUGAGUGAAGAAGGUUUUCGGAUCGUAAAACUCUGUUGUUAGAGAAGAACAAGGAUGAGAGUAGAAUGUUCAUCCCUUGACGGUAUCUAACCAGAAAGCCACGGCUAACUACGUGCCAGCAGCCGCGGUAAUACGUAGGUGGCAAGCGUUGUCCGGAUUUAUUGGGCGUAAAGCGAGCGCAGGCGGUUUCUUAAGUCUGAUGUGAAAGCCCCCGGCUCAACCGGGGAGGGUCA
Molecule: ribosomal RNA, 358 nt
Filed under: Enterococcus avium
Lineage: Bacteria; Bacillati; Bacillota; Bacilli; Lactobacillales; Enterococcaceae
Description: bacterial SSU rRNA
Rfam family: Bacterial small subunit ribosomal RNA
Source: RNAcentral